This 869-nucleotide ribosomal RNA is filed under the name uncultured Peptococcaceae bacterium. RNAcentral describes it as "bacterial SSU rRNA". It matches the Rfam family "Bacterial small subunit ribosomal RNA", at positions 293 to 1173 of the family's 1533-position model. The record is from RNAcentral. Lineage: Bacteria; Bacillati; Bacillota; Clostridia; Eubacteriales; Peptococcaceae.
UGAGAGGGCGACCGGCCACACUGGAACUGAGACACGGUCCAGACUCCUACGGGAGGCAGCAGUGGGGAAUCUUCCGCAAUGGGCGCAAGCCUGACGGAGCAACGCCGCGUGAGCGAAGAAGGCCUUCGGGUUGUAAAGCUCUGUCCCGGGGGAAGAACAAAUGACGGUACCCCGGGAGGAAGCCCCGGCUAACUACGUGCCAGCAGCCGCGGUAAAACGUAGGGGGCGAGCGUUGUCCGGAAUUACUGGGCGUAAAGGGCGUGUAGGCGGUUGCGCAAGUCAGUAGUGAAACCCGUCGGCUUAACCGGCGGCUGGCUACUGAAACUGCGCGACUUGAGUGCAGUAGUGGGGAGUGGAAUUCCCAGUGUAGCGGUGAAAUGCGUAGAUAUUGGGAGGAACACCAGUGGCGAAAGCGGCUCCCUGGCCUGUAACUGACGCUGAGGCGCGAAAGCGUGGGUAGCAAACAGGAUUAGAUACCCUGGUAGUCCACGCCGUAAACGAUGGGUGCUAGGUGUUGCGGGUAUCGACCCCCGCAGUGCCGCAGUUAACGCAAUAAGCACCCCGCCUGGGGAGUACGGCCGCAAGGCUGAAACUCAAAGGAAUUGACGGGGGCCCGCACAAGCGGUGGAGCAUGUGGUUUAAUUCGACGCAACGCGAAGAACCUUACCAGGUCUUGACAUCCCCUGCCAGUCGUAGAAAUACGGCCUUCUCCUUUGUGGAGACAGGGAGACAGGUGGUGCAUGGUUGUCGUCAGCUCGUGUCGUGAGAUGUUGGGUUAAGUCCCGCAACGAGCGCAACCCCUACCUUUAGUUGCCAGCAAGUAAAGUUGGGCACUCUGGAGGGACUGCCGUUGACAAAACGGAGGAAGG